Molecule: long non-coding RNA, 2714 nt
Organism: Capsicum annuum
Lineage: Eukaryota; Viridiplantae; Streptophyta; Magnoliopsida; Solanales; Solanaceae
Exons: 4
Source: RefSeq, a predicted model, not a curated record
UCUUCUUAAAAAAAUUGUCAGAGUUUAUCAUCAAGAGUUCAUCAGCAAUAUCACAAUUCAAAAAAUGCGAUGGAAAUCACUUAUCUUUGCAUUAACCAGACGUUUGAAUUUUACAAAGAUCGCGUUAAUCAUCGCAGUUAUUCUAUUAUUCAGGCAUGCAUUGUUGUACUUUAUAAUAUUGACUUUGAUGUUAUGAUUCAUCAAUGUUGUUGGUUAUUUUUUGUCUAUUAAAUUAUUUUUCUUAGAGAAUCAUUUCUACAUUGUGAAUGGUUGGAUGUGUCAUUGGAUUUCAAAGUCAUACUCUGUCUGUUUGAUUUCUCACAAGUGGAACUGCAAUCAUUCGAUGAAAUAUGUGGAAAUAUUCUUUGACUCAUUCUAUGUAUCCGGACGGUUCAUAACUUUGAACACUUUAUUAUUGUACAUGUUGAAGAAGACGCAGAUAACUUUUGUUUAAUUAUGCCACAAAAAUCGAAUAGGUAAUAGAUUUUCUACCCAAUUGUGGAUAGCAGAAGCAUUCGAAAGAAGGAGUUGAACAAACAAAAAAAAAAGAAAUAGUGAGAAUUUUCAGGAAAUCCUUUUUUUGGGUUCUUGGAAUUUGGAAUGAAUUAGAAGCAAUAUUCCAAUGCAGCAGCUACAGCUUUGUACAACUACCUGGGUAAUGCCAGCCCUGCUCAUGAUAUGGGCGACAUGCUUUCAUUACUAAGUUUAUUUCUGCACAUCGAAAUAUUUGUCCUCUGGAACUCUAAUUUUGACUAUCUUCUUUAUAUCAAAAUUAGUUUUUCAUAAGAGGAAUACAUAUAGUGGAAGAUAGAAAGUCGGAGGCAUUACAACAGAAAAUUGAUCAUGCUUACUUAAUUUCAAAGGUUGUUGUAGGAAGGAAGUUCGGGGCACUGCAAAUACCCCACAACCAGAUAUAGCAAGCAUGCAGAAGAGAGUGUCUGUGUCCUCGGCAGUUAGCUUGCAGAAGUAAGUCAAUUUUACUCUUCUUUUACUAAUUUAGAUUAUUUCUUUCCAGAUCAUGACUUUUUUAUAGGUAUUAUAUAUGGUUUUUUUUCAUAUCUUCCGUAUUGUUAGAUUAGAGGGAUAGCAUUAACAUUUUAUGGUUUCUAGGAGCUAUUGAUAGGUAGGAAGCUUUAUCCCACGCUAUGACAUAUAAAUAACAAUGUGUUGGUUUACAUAGAGGCAAAUUUACGAGUAAAUUUAAUUAAUGGCCAUUUAUUGUUGUGUUCAUUAAACAAAAGUCACUUUUUUAUUACAUAAAAGUCAUUUUUGUUUGCUUGUUAUCACAAAAAGAACUUUGGCCGAAUCUCAUAGAACUUCCACCUUGAAAAGUGAUGUGACGUUCUUAAUUAGUGCAUUUGCUUAAAUAAAUAGGAUUAAUGUACUAAACUACAAUAUCGAACUCUGAUGUAUCUGGAUCAUUCCAACUUCCCCUUCAAUGGCUCCCCACAUGACUACUAAAUUGGACAGAAGAUUUAGAGUGUUACUGAAGGUAUGCAGUCUUUCACUUUAAUAUUUAAAAACACAUUAUUUACAUAUAAUGAUAUUCCUUUUAACGCUAAAAGAUAGAUACAUAUUGACAUAGAUAAUUUUUAUUUCUAUGCUGUUGGUCAGUUAGGCAAGAAACUAACUGUUUGCAAAAUACCUGAAUAAAAUGAUUUCACCUUCAUAAAAAGUUCAUAAGUGUCUUGUUUGAUUUUAAUAUAUUAAAUUAAUACUACUCUACUAUUUUAAAUAUUGAUGUAUUAGUUGGCAUCAUUACACAUCCUAUCUUGUGUUGAGUUGAAAUCAUGUAGAUCCUACAUAUUAUUAACAAGGGAUUGAAGAGGAAAUUAGAAAUAAAGGCUCAAAUAAUUCAUAAUUGAUAGAGAAAUUCAAGAAAGCCAAAGAUAUUGUAUCAUUUCUCCCUUUUUCAUUGUAUAUUCUUUUUUUUAAAAAAAAUGAUUCAACUUUAUUUUACAUUUCUAUGAGGGAUAUCAAUGUCUACAACAGAUUAACCAAACGGAUGAAAGGAACAUACACUAGGAAUAUUAUCCAAAAAAGGGUAUAAGAUUCAGGCUACAUCUAAUCAUCUUGAUCUUGGCAAACAAGAAUGUGUACAUUCACGUCAUGGCUCCUUUAGUUUUGCGCUCAGGUAAGACUGUUAGAUAUUUCAUUCCUGAAUAUCCUUUAGCAACAAAUACGAUACUUUAUUAAGUAUCAUAUAUUUAUUAAAAGUUUGGACGAUUUUACAUUUGAAUAUUGUUAAUUUUUUUCCUUUAUUUAAUAUUGCAUUCAAUUUUUUCUAUUUUGCAUUAAGUCACAUAAUUAGUAAUAUAACACCGAUAAACAAAUGUUAACAUGAUGAUAAAGUAACAUUAAUAGAAUAGAAAAUUGACAAUCAUGAAUGUCAGAAAGUUGUUUAAAUAAAAAGAACAAGAAUGUUAGUUCAGGAAUGUCAAAAAAUAGUCUUUUUAAGAAGAAAUAAACUCAAAAAUUUGAAAAAGAAAGAGUUACAACGGUGAUCCGACCUAGAGUUUAUUUGGCUCACAUUUUAUACAAUCAGAAAAAGUUUUAAAUUUGUUUGAAUAAACAACUCUGAGAAAGAAUCUAGCUAUAAUUGAGUUUGUGUGGUAUCAAACCCUAAAUUCAUGGUGAAAAAAUGAUACAAGAACAAUCAAGAACCCACAAAACAAACACCCAAAACAGUACCAUUUGUAGGGGGUGCGGAUUAG